RNAcentral lists this ribosomal RNA (447 nucleotides) under uncultured bacterium. RNAcentral describes it as "partial 16S ribosomal RNA". It matches the Rfam family "Bacterial small subunit ribosomal RNA", at positions 28 to 523 of the family's 1533-position model. The record is from RNAcentral.
GAUGAACGCUGGCGGCAGGCCUAACACAUGCAAGUCGAGCGCCCCGCAAGGGGAGCGGCGCACGGGUGAGUAACGCGUGGGAAUGUACCAUUUGGUGGGGAAUAACUCCGGGAAACUGGAGCUAAUACCGCAUACGCCCUUCGGGGGAAAGAUUUAUCGCCAAAUGAUCAGCCCGCGUGAGAUUAGAUAGUUGGUGGGGUAAUGGCCUACCAAGUCGACGAUCUCUAGCUGGUCUUAGAGGAUGACCAGCCACACUGGAACUGAGACACGGUCCAGACUCCUACGGGAGGCAGCAGUGGGGAAUAUUGGGCAAUGGACGAAAGUCUGACCCAGCCAUGCCGCGUGAGUGAUGAAGGCUCUAGGGUUGUAAAGCUCUUUCGCCGAUGAAGAUAAUGACGGUAGUCGGAGAAGAAGCCCCGGCUAACUUCGUGCCAGCCGCCGCCGUAA